AGUCAAAUAGUAAAUACUCCGUAGAUAGUAGGUGCUUUAAAGCGUAACGGGAAACCAACCUGCCGAGGAUUCCAAUAUAUGCGUGUAAAUAUAUGGUCUCUUCGAAUUUUACGGAGAGGCCUUUGAUUUUAUUAUA
Clostridium sp. DMHC 10 is the source of this 136-nucleotide non-coding RNA. Lineage: Bacteria; Bacillati; Bacillota; Clostridia; Eubacteriales; Clostridiaceae. The record is from Rfam.